UACGUAGGGUGCAAGCGUUGUCCGGAAUUAUUGGGCGUAAAGAGCUCGUAGGCGGUUUGUUGCGUCGGCUGUGAAAUCCCGAGGCUCAACCUCGGGUCUGCAGUCGAUACGAGCAAACUAGAGUGUUGCAGGGGAGACUGGAAUUCCUGGUGUAGCGGUGAAAUGCGCAGAUAUCAGGAGGAACACCGGUGGCGAAGGCGGCUCUCUGGACCGAGACUGACGCUGAGGCGCGAAAGCGUGGGGAGCAAACAGG
This 253-nucleotide ribosomal RNA is filed under the name uncultured bacterium. RNAcentral describes it as "partial 16S ribosomal RNA". It matches the Rfam family "Bacterial small subunit ribosomal RNA", at positions 524 to 776 of the family's 1533-position model. The record is from RNAcentral.